Long non-coding RNA from Dama dama (fallow deer), 266 nucleotides. RefSeq lists it as uncharacterized. The record is from RefSeq and is a predicted model, not a curated record. Lineage: Eukaryota; Metazoa; Chordata; Mammalia; Artiodactyla; Cervidae. The transcript has 3 exons.
AGAAAUUUAAAGAACAGAAACAUUGUUUGAAGAGACCACGCAGGUAGUGCAGGGUGGUUGUCUCUGCAGUGCUGAACCCAUGGUUAAUACUGAAUGAAUGAGUGAAAGGAUGAAGGAAUGAAGAAUGGGAAGGAAAGCUCAGCUAAUCAUCCGGUUUGCAGAUAAAUAAGAAACGAAGCGCCAGACACUUCAACAAGAAAAGAUUUCUUACUUUUCCCCUGAAUUUAUAGUUUUGAAAACGUCAACGUGCACAGAAAAACUCAAAG